Molecule: non-coding RNA, 268 nt
Organism: Pelobates cultripes (western spadefoot toad)
Lineage: Eukaryota; Metazoa; Chordata; Amphibia; Anura; Pelobatidae
Source: the annotation of a GenBank genome assembly
CGUUAUGUCAUUUAGAAUGUAAGCACAUCGUUUUAAGCAUUUUUAAUCAAACAACAAAAAUGUAUCUUCAGCUUGCAUUCUUUGUCCCACUUCCAUUCUAACAUAUAUUUUUCUCGGUUUCCUGUACCUGCUCAAGAAGGUUUCAUAUAGUAUUCUGGUACCAGUUGUGGUCUAGUGUACAGGUUUCAUAAGUUGAAAGCCCCAAAGACCUCUGCUCUAAGCAAAACUGAGUCUGUGCACAGAGAACUGUGAAAUAUGCUAAUCACAU